This 256-nucleotide ribosomal RNA is filed under the name uncultured bacterium. Its description in RNAcentral is "partial 16S ribosomal RNA". It matches the Rfam family "Bacterial small subunit ribosomal RNA", at positions 257 to 504 of the family's 1533-position model. The record is from RNAcentral.
GUAACGGCCCACCAAACCGACGAUCAGUAGCCGGUCUGAGAGGAUGAACGGCCACACUGGAACUGAGACACGGUCCAGACUCCUACGGGAGGCAGCAGUGGGGAAUCUUCCGCAAUGGACGAAAGUCUGACGGAGCAACGCCGCGUGAGUGAAGACGGCCUUCGGGUUGUAAAGCUCUUUGAUCCGGGACGAACGGCAGGACAGCUAAUACCUGUUCUGAAUGACGGUACCGGAAGAACAAGCCACGGCUAACUAC